Molecule: ribosomal RNA, 488 nt
Filed under: uncultured bacterium
Lineage: Bacteria
Description: partial 16S ribosomal RNA
Rfam family: Bacterial small subunit ribosomal RNA
Source: RNAcentral
GACGAACGCUGGCGGCGUGCUUAACACAUGCAAGUCGAACGGAAAGGCCCUGCUUUUGUGGGGUGCUCGAGUGGCGAACGGGUGAGUAACACGUGAGUAACCUGCCCUUGACUUUGGGAUAACUUCAGGAAACUGGGGCUAAUACCGGAUAGGAUCUCCUGCUGCAUGGUGGGGGUUGGAAAGUUUCGGCGGUUGGGGAUGGACUCGCGGCGUAUCAGCUUGUUGGGAGGGUAGAGGCUUACCAAGGCUUUGACGGGUAGCCGACCUGAGGGGGUGACCGGCCACACUGGAAGGGAGACACGGGCCAGGCUCCUACGGGAAGCAGCAGGAGCGAAGCGGCCGCAAUGGGCGGAAGCCUGACGGAGCAACGCCGCGUGAGACAUGAAGGGCGUCGGAUCGGAAAACUCUGUUAGUAGGGAAGAACAUAUGUGUAAGGAACGGUGCACAUCUUGACGGUACCUAAUCAGAAAGCCACGGCUAACUACGUG